GAAAAAAAAAAAAAGGAAUGGUGUCUUCGUGGAGAAUACAGUAUCAGAAAACAAAGAGUUCAUGUACGGAGAAAACCCUGCGUCACACAGAUACAUGGUUGGAAAAGGAAGGACCUGGCUGGCCCUCUGCAAGAUCUCUGGGCUUACAGUGAUCCUCUCUCAGCCUACACAUUAGGAACCACUGACUGAAUUCUGAAUCCAAUCCGGCAUCACUGUGUUUCUGGAUGGCAAAGUUGAAGAUUCUAGGAUCUUUAUGUUUUGUGUCUACAAUUGGCACCGACGGGUACCCCAGAGAGAAGGCAAAGGCCACUCCAGGAGUCCGCCAACUCUAUAAAGUGAAUGAUGAACACUGUGUGCACACUUUCCAUACGGAAACUCUAAUGGUGUCCUCCUUGCAGCCAAGAGAACAAAGUGGAAGUGAAAUAUUACUGUCCAUCUUGACACAAAUGAGGAAGUAGCCCCAGGACUACAAAACAGGAACUCCGGGGCCCAGAGAAGAGAGAGAAGAAAACUCACAAAUAGCCGUCAAUGAAAAGCAACGUCCUCACCCACUGACUUUUCCUAAAUAUUAAUGCUGCCGCUGUCUGCUGGAGGAAGGAGACGGUGGAGAGAAAUGUAAGGGAGAGAGUUUUCAAAAGAGAAUGUAUUUAUCAACAUCGUCACCACUGAAAUGUACAUGUUUAGCACCUGGUGUAUAGGACCGUGCUCCGCAGGCUAACAGAUAUUCCUGGACUCAAGUAUUAUUGAAUUUGCAAGCGUGAAAAUUUUACUCCUUGCGUUUUUGAAAUAUUUGAUAGUCAAAAGUGGAUGGAGACCAGGAAGGAGUGACAAAGAAAGCAGGAUGUGAACACUUCCAGGGAGAUGGGGUGACCCAUGCAGGAGCUUGUUUACAGGCGAAGAUUCAGUGACUCACAAUAGCACAUGGAGGAAACGAAGAGUCAAAGAGCAAUGGAAGGUACAGCCCGCCUCCCCGAAGGAAGGAGAAUCGCAGGGAUAAUGGCAUUGGAAAUAGAGGCACCAUACCUUGGGAACUGACAUCAUACUUUUCAGCAGAGAGCGAUUUAAUAUCAAGGGUGACCUUCUGUAGCAUCUCGAUCACUUGCACUUGGUCGGUGAAGUCAUGCAGCAUGGCUGUGCCACAGCCCCUCAGAUAUCUGCCACAUGUGGAGCACAUACUCCCCGUGGCGCAGGAGGAAUCGGUGGUCUAUCAGCAGCAGGUUCACGUAAUAGAGGAGCUGAGUUUUGCCUUUGGACUCGGAACUGGGAGUCUCUGCAGAGGUCUUGCCAGCCAGCACCGGAGCUUUGCUGCAGUAGAUCUGGAGGUUGAGUAGAGCCCCUCUGGGGCCAGUAUACAACUGUUGAAAAUACAGUGGCAAUCUGUGUGUCCCCCGGAACCAAAACUUCUGGGGUUGGAACAUAAAGAGAAGCUUUGACACCACUGGGAAAUGCUACUUGAAACAAAGAAAACCCAAAAACAUUGGGAAAUCCGAAGACCUCAAAGUUUUAUUUCUGUGAAAGCCUCUGGAUCACCGAUGAGCUAGCAGUCUGACGAAGUCAGGCCUCAGAAUUCCUUCCUUAGAUUGUCAAAGGACUAGGAACAGCAUGGCCUGAUGUGUCCACCAAGCAAGAAUGUGGGAGCAAGAAAAAAACUGGAUUCUCUUCUGUGUACUAAUGUGACUUCCUGAUUCUAUGGAAUACUACUGAUUGCAAAAAGUAAGGAACAAGUUGGAGCCAAGGGAUAGCAGAAAGGAAAAUGACCCCACAGAAGAGUGGCAGUGCAUAUAAGAUGAACAUUUAGGACGUGUGUGAUUAAUGAACAAAUAAAUGAAAGAAUGAAAGCAAGUUAAGACCAACCAAUAGGUGAGAAAAAGUCCAUCUGAAUACUUUCUGGUCACACUUUCAACUCAGAUCGCUACAAUUCUUCAGAAACAGGUAAGGGGUACCUGGGUGGCUCAGUCAGUUAAGUG
This is a long non-coding RNA of Felis catus (domestic cat), 1967 nucleotides long. RefSeq lists it as uncharacterized. Lineage: Eukaryota; Metazoa; Chordata; Mammalia; Carnivora; Felidae. The record is from RefSeq and is a predicted model, not a curated record. The transcript has 15 exons.